GGCUAAGAAAAUUCAACUUGAAUAAUGGACUGAUACACCAGAGGUACGCUUGCGUUU
RNAcentral lists this transfer RNA (57 nucleotides) under Lithobius maqinensis. Its description in RNAcentral is "transfer RNA-Ile". The record is from RNAcentral. Lineage: Eukaryota; Metazoa; Arthropoda; Chilopoda; Lithobiomorpha; Lithobiidae.